GAAUUAUAAAGAGGAGUUGAGAGACUGGGCUCUAUGAAACUCCGACAACCUCCGGAACUUUCCGAAAGGUGCCAAAACCCGGCCUGAUAACAGGAGUUAUAAUUU
RNAcentral lists this non-coding RNA (105 nucleotides) under Odoribacter splanchnicus. Its description in RNAcentral is "SAM-I sequence". It matches the Rfam family "SAM riboswitch aptamer (S box leader)". Rfam says of the family: The SAM riboswitch is found upstream of a number of genes which code for proteins involved in methionine or cysteine biosynthesis in Gram-positive bacteria. The SAM riboswitch acts at the level of transcription termination control. Lineage: Bacteria; Pseudomonadati; Bacteroidota; Bacteroidia; Bacteroidales; Odoribacteraceae. RNAcentral also lists the same sequence under 1 other name. The record is from RNAcentral.